UGAAGUCUUUACUAACGCAGACAGUGAAUGCCUAGGAUUUACCUACCGAAGAAGGACGCACAUGGUUGCGAUAAUCGCCGGGGAGGAGCCACGAUCCAUUGAUCCGACGGUGUCCGAAUGGGGAAACCCAACCAUAAUUAUAUUUGGUUACCCUAUGGUAAAAAUCCCGACUUGUCGGGGUAUAACCGUAGCGGGGGAGACCGCCCGAACUGAAACAUCUAAGUAGGGUGAGGAAAAUAAAUCAAACGAGAGAUUCCGUCAGUAGCGGCGAGCGAAAGCGGAAUAGCCUAAACUGCCCCAUAUUCGCAAGAAUAUGGGCGCAGGGUUGCGGGAUUCCAAUAUGGGUUCUUUAUGAAUAGUAGAAGUAUCUGGAAUGGUACACCAUAGAAAGUGAAAGUCUUGUAUACAAAAUUUAUAAAGAAUCUUAGGAAUAUCCCAAGUACCACGGUGCAUCUACACCGUGGGAAGCUGGGGGAACCAUCCUCCAAGGCUAAAUAUAGGUAGAUACCGAUAGUGAACAAGUACCGUGAGGGAAAGGCGAAAAGAAGGGCGAGACGCCCAGUGAAAUAGAACCUGAAACUGUUUGCGGACAAACCGAUAGAGCCCCGCACCAAAUUGGCAGCUGAUUUUCAAAAUAUGAGACAUGAGUUUAUUUAUUGUUUAAACUUUCAAUAAACUUAAAGUUUAGUUAAUGUUAACAUUCAAAUCAAUGAAAUAUUUUCUGCCAACUUGGUGCGGGGUGAUAUCGUGCCUAUUGAAGAAUGAGCCGGCGAGUGGCCGUUAGAUAACUAUCUAAACCCUUAAACGGGUGGAGGUGAAGGGAAACCGAGUGCGAAUAGCGCGUGUUACCUUUUGGUAACGAGUAUCUGAUGGCCGACCCGAAACCAGGCGAUCUAGCCAUGAGCAGGGUGAAUUCCGAUGAAGAUUGGAAGGAGGCCCGAACCCGUCGUUGUUGCAAUAACGUGGGAUGACUUGUGGAUAGUGGUAAUAUGCCAACCGAGCCUGGAGAUAGCUGGUUCUCCCCGAAAGGUCUAUAGGGACCGUGGUACGAAAAGUAUAUUGAUGGUAGAGAUACUGGAUGGAUGAGAGAGCGCAAGCAAUUUCAUUCAACCAAACUCCGAAUAACAAUAUAUAACAACGUACUAGACAGUCGCAUCGGGCUAAGCUGAUGCGUCCAAAGGGAAACAACCCAGACUCUCGGCUAAGGCCUCUAAAUCGCAGCUAAGUUUGAAAGGAAGUCGGUUUCCGUAAACAGCCAGGAGGUUGGCUUAGAAGCAGCCACCCUUUAAAGAUAGCGUAACAGCUCACUGGUCGAUGGAAGCAGGCGCCUAAAAUUUAUCGAGGAUAAGUUGCGUGCCGAAGCUAGAGAUACCUGUUCGUAGAACAGGAAUGAUAAAUGCUAAAUGAUAAAUGCUAAAUGUAAAAGAAGCAGUAAGUUUAAAUAUGGCUUCUAAUAAUACAUUGGUUAUUUGCCAUUGGAAAUUGGUCAUUCCCGCUCUGCGAGCGGGUGUGGUAGGGGAGCGUUCCGUAUCCAGUGAAGCUUCGCCGUGAGGCGGAGUGGAAGGUACGGAAGUGAGAAUGCCGGUAUGAGUAGCGUACAAUCCCAGUGAGAAUCUGGGACGCCGUAAGCCCAAGGUUUCCGUCGCUAGGUUCGUCCACGACGGGUUAGUCGAUACCUAAGAUGAGCCCCGCACCUAAGUGGCAUAAAAUAUUACCUUAAUUGGAUCAGAUUAACCUUAAUAAUUUAUUUGAAGAAUAUAGUUUAGUGAUUAUUAAGAGUAAGAUUCAUAUUUUGGAAAAUAAGAUGCCAUUUUGGUGCGGGGGUAGUCGAUGGAUGAGUGGUUAAAAUUCCACUAUUUGUUUUAGAUCGCCCACCACGUUCAUGCGCAAGUACUGAACGUGGAGCUGGGGAUUGACUGGAUAGGAUGAUUAAAGUCCCGAUGUGAUAUCGGGGUGUAAGCUGUUAGAUAGGGUCAGUUGGAAAAUCCGCUGAAACGAUUAAUCAAGCAGCAAUGCAGAGCCCUAAGAGAUUGGGGCAAUUUUAUCCCAUUCUGUCUACAAGAAAAGGUUCGCAGCGAGAUCUAAAUCAAGUCGUACCGCAAACCAACACAGGUGGGCAGCUAGAGAAUAGUAAGGCGAGCGAGAGAAAGAGGUUUAAGGAACUCGGCAAAAAAGCUGGAUGUAACUUCGGAAGAUAUCCUCCCCGCACCAAUUUAGCAGAAAAUAUUACUGAUUCGAAUUUGAGUCUUAUUUUAUAUUUAACUUGAAUAAUAUUACUUAAGUUUUAUAUAAGUAGGAUUCAUAUUUUGGAGAAUCAGCUGCUAAAUUGGUGCGGGGCGCAGCAAAUGUUUGCUAACCGACUGUUUAUCAAAAACACAGGUCCGUGCAAAGCUGAAAGGCAAAGUAUACGGGCUGACGCCUGCCCAGUGCCGGUAAGUUAAGCGGCGUUGUGCUUCGCACAAAGAAUGUUAAAUGACCAAAAGGCAAAUGCUAAAUGAAUUUAAUUUAUCAUUUUGUUUUUUAUAAUUUGGCUUUUUUGCGCGAAGCGCAGCAAUGUCAAGCUCCGGUAAACGGCAGCAGUAACUAUGAAAUAGUCGUAGUUCUAAAACCUAGCUAUAUGCUGGAAUAUCCGUACUGUAGUGAUUUUCAAGUAGAAUGGAAAUAACGAACAGUUGAAGUAUCUGACGCUACCAUUUAAAAUGGUAACAAUGCGAUCAGUGCGGACAAUCAGCAGGAAAGGCCUCCAAGUAAUUUCUAAUUACUAAUUUCUAAUUAACCUAAUCAAACCCCAAUUUAAGAAUGACCCAACUAAGUUUUGUUUUAGUCAUUUGAAAUUGGUCAUUAAAUAAUUUGUUAGAAAUUAGAGCAAUUAAGUCAAUUAGUAAUUUUUGAAGGAAUCCUCAGAGACUACACGCUAGGCUACGUUCAGUUUACAUGAACGUGGAUGAUAUAGUCCGAUCUGCAUAGCAAUAUGCAGUCUACGUAAAAUCGUAGUCCCGGAUUCGAUCGGGAUAACAUAUUGAACUGUUCUACGGUAGCGAAGUCCCUCGUCGGGUAAGUUCCGACCUGCACGAAAGGCGUAACGAGUUAGCAACUGUCUCAAGCCUCUACUCGGCGAAAUUGCGUUGGCUGUGAAGACGCGGCCUAAUUCCACCAGGACAAAAAGACCCCGUGGAGCUUUACUGUAGCUUAACAUUGGUUUGUGCGAUCUAAUUGUUUAGAGUAGGAGGGAGCCCGUGUGUAGCACGGAAAUGCUAAAUGCUAAAAAGAUGAAUGCUAAAUGAAACUAAUUUAUCAUUUGCUUUUUUGUAAUUUGACAUUUGCGAGCUAUGCGCGAGCGACACUGAAACACCUCCCUUUAGAGCGUGGCAAGUCUUACCUAAUCCCGAUGAAUACUCGGGAAGGGAAAGUGUUAGGUGGGCAGUUUUACUGGGGCGGUACCUUGCCAAAGAGUAACGCAAGGGUACAAAGGUUGGCUUAGCACGGAUGGACAUCGUGCGUAAUGUAUAAAGGCAAAAGCCAGCUUGACUGCGAGAGUGACGGCUCAAGCAGGUACGAAAGUAGGUCUUAGUGAUCCUCCAAUCCUGCAUGGAAGGGUUGGAGCUUAACGGAUAAAAGCUACCCCGGGGAUAACAGAGUAGUCGCGCCCGAGCGUCCAUAGCGACGGCGCGGAUCGCUACCUCGAUGUCGGCUCACCACAUCCUGGCGCUGGAGAAGGUGCCAAGGGUUGGUCUGUUCGCCCAUUAAAGUGGUACGUGAGCUGGGUUCAGAACGUCGUGAGACAGUUCGGACUCUAUCCGGUGGAAUCGUAGAACCUUGAAGGAAGCUGUGCUCAGUACGAGAGGACCAGCAUGGGGGAAUCUCUGGUGUGCCGGUUGUGGCGUCAGCCGCAAAGCCGGGUAGCUAUAUUCCCAAGGGAUAACCGCUGAAAGCAUCUAAGUGGGAAGCCCCUCCUAAGAUUAGGGUUCAUUUUAGACUCCUGGAAGAAUACCAGGUCGCCGCAAGGCGAACCUCGUCUGGCUCGCAAGAGCGAGACGGGUUGUUCGGCAGGGUGUGGAAGGACAGUAAUGUCUUAAGCUAACCUGAUCCGAAUAAGUCGAUAAGACUUUAUA
Non-coding RNA from Candidatus Woesebacteria bacterium, 4112 nucleotides. The record is from Rfam. NCBI's taxonomy places the organism in Bacteria, Candidatus Woeseibacteriota.